UAUAUGUUGGUGUAAAGCAUAAAAAGUUUUGAUCUUUUAGGUUUUGGUGGGAAUCCAUUACAUAUAA
Molecule: transfer RNA, 67 nt
Filed under: Lepidopa californica
Lineage: Eukaryota; Metazoa; Arthropoda; Malacostraca; Decapoda; Albuneidae
Description: tRNA-Gln
Source: RNAcentral